CAGCCGCCGCGGUAAUACGUAGGUGGCGAGCGUUGCCCGGAAUUAUUGGGCGUAAAGGGCUCGCAGGCGGUUUCUUAAGUCUGAUGUGAAAGCCCCCGGCUCAACCGGGGAGGGUCAUUGGAAACUGGGAAACUUGAGUGCAGAAGAGGAGAGUGGAGUUCCACGUGUAGCGGUGAAAUGCGUAGAGAUGUGGAGGAACACCAGUGGCGAAGGCGACUCUCUGGUCUGUAACUGACGCUGAGGAGCGAAAGCGUGGGGAGCGAACAGGAUUAGAUACCCCAGUAGUCCCUGUCUCUUAUAA
This 301-nucleotide ribosomal RNA is filed under the name uncultured bacterium. Its description in RNAcentral is "partial 16S ribosomal RNA". It matches the Rfam family "Bacterial small subunit ribosomal RNA", at positions 509 to 809 of the family's 1533-position model. The record is from RNAcentral.